RNAcentral lists this transfer RNA (78 nucleotides) under Mycobacterium sp. ENV421. RNAcentral's name for it is "tRNA-Leu". It matches the Rfam family "tRNA". From Rfam's summary of the family: Transfer RNA (tRNA) molecules are approximately 80 nucleotides in length. Their secondary structure includes four short double-helical elements and three loops (D, anti-codon, and T loops). Further hydrogen bonds mediate the characteristic L-shaped molecular structure. tRNAs have two regions of fundamental functional importance: the anti-codon, which is responsible for specific mRNA codon recognition, and the 3' end, to which the tRNAs corresponding amino acid is attached (by aminoacyl-tRNA synthetases). tRNAs cope with the degeneracy of the genetic code in two manners: having more than one tRNA (with a specific anti-codon) for a particular amino acid; and 'wobble' base-pairing, i.e. permitting non-standard base-pairing at the 3rd anti-codon position. Lineage: Bacteria; Bacillati; Actinomycetota; Actinomycetes; Mycobacteriales; Mycobacteriaceae. The record is from RNAcentral.
GCCCCCAUAGCCCAAUUGGCAGAGGCAGCGGACUUAAAAUCCGCACAAGUGUCGGUUCGAGUCCGACUGGGGGCACCG